CGGCAGCACAGAAGAGCUUGCUCUUUGGGUGGCGAGUGGCGGACGGGUGAGUAAUGUCUGGGAAACUGCCCGAUGGAGGGGGAUAACUACUGGAAACGGUAGCUAAUACCGCAUAACGUCGCAAGACCAAAGUGGGGGACCUUCGGGCCUCACACCAUCGGAUGUGCCCAGAUGGGAUUAGCUAGUAGGUGGGGUAAUGGCUCACCUAGGCGACGAUCCCUAGCUGGUCUGAGAGGAUGACCAGCCACACUGGAACUGAGACACGGUCCAGACUCCUACGGGAGGCAGCAGUGGGGAAUAUUGCACAAUGGGCGCAAGCCUGAUGCAGCCAUGCCGCGUGUAUGANGAAGGCCUUCGGGUUGUAAAGUACUUUCAGCGGGGAGGAAGGCGGUGAGGUUAAUAACCUUGCCGAUUGACGUUACCCGCAGAAGAAGCACCGGCUAACUCCGUGCCAGCAGCCGCGGUAAUACGGAGGGUGCAAGCGUUAAUCGGAAUUACUGGGCGUANAGCGCACGCAGGCGGUCUGUUAAGUCAGAUGUGAAAUCCCCGGGCUUANCCUGGGAACUGCAUUUGAAACUGGCAGGCUUGAGUCUCGUAGAGGGGGGUAGAA
This 610-nucleotide ribosomal RNA is filed under the name Pantoea dispersa. Its description in RNAcentral is "bacterial SSU rRNA". It matches the Rfam family "Bacterial small subunit ribosomal RNA", at positions 67 to 666 of the family's 1533-position model. Lineage: Bacteria; Pseudomonadati; Pseudomonadota; Gammaproteobacteria; Enterobacterales; Erwiniaceae. The record is from RNAcentral.